CCUGAGAAACCCAAAAGAUCGAAUGGGGAGAUUCAUCGUCAGCGAUGCUGGUACCUGUGCGGUUCGNGAUGCCCGUGACUUCGGUAACGCGGCACGCGUCCGCAUGUUUUUCAUUGCCUGGCAUCGUCAACGUGCACUUCUCCCCUAGUAGGACGUCGCGACCCGUUGGGUGUCGGUCUACGGCCCAAGUGGGAGCCUUUAAUGUUUAACAACAUUAAAGACCCUUGGUGAUUUCUGAUCGGCUGNCCGGCNNNUACUCGGCGGUAUUCGCACGGUAUCGGGCCGCAAUCAGUCAAUUUGCGUCCGGGCCGCCGCAAGGUUGGCCAGUGUUAACCCGGAUGUUACGGACCAAGCGCCGUCACCGGGCCUGGCCGGCCGGUUUGCCGGCGUUGUCCCCUCGGACUCUGGGCUCUUUUGAUUACCGGUCAGCGACGCUACUGCUUUGGGUACUUUCAGGACCCGUCUUGAAACACGGA
This 476-nucleotide ribosomal RNA is filed under the name Podogaster tranae. Its description in RNAcentral is "eukaryotic LSU rRNA". The record is from RNAcentral. Lineage: Eukaryota; Metazoa; Arthropoda; Insecta; Hymenoptera; Ichneumonidae.